Molecule: non-coding RNA, 551 nt
Organism: Arachis ipaensis
Lineage: Eukaryota; Viridiplantae; Streptophyta; Magnoliopsida; Fabales; Fabaceae
Source: RefSeq, a predicted model, not a curated record
UGUGAGAUCAAAGAUGCUAAGGCUUCGUUGGACUCCUAAUCUUCGUCUCUCCUUUGUCCAUGCUGUUCAGAGGCUUGGAGGUCAAGAAAGUAAGUCAAGAAAGUAAUUCCACUCUCAAACAGUUGUAAGACUACACUUCAAUUUGACUUGGGAGGAGUUCAAUUUGAUAAAAUGGUCUGUUUCAAUCUUUUUUUAAGUGAUUCUUCUGUCUUGUGUCUAUCCUCUGAGUAUGCUACUAUUGUAGGUUCCUUAUAUUACAAUUGCUUUGACGGAUUCUAAACUUGGUGCGGAAGGGGCGUAAAGAACUUUUUGAUUGGUUAUCUAGGCAACUUUCUGUGCAAAGCAGUUUUGCUGAAGCUGCACAACUUCUGAAGCCAGCCUCUGCUGCAAUGACAGUAAGUUUUGGACAUUCAUGGACCAAUUCUAGCUUUAGUUCUUGAGAAGUUGAAACCAUAUGGAGGCCUUCAAGAAUCAUUUGAGUCUGCUAAGGCAGUUUCAGUGGGCGCAUCCAAAGGUGUUCAAAGGCUGGGAAAUUAACAACUAAUGGUGUU